This is a long non-coding RNA of Chinchilla lanigera (long-tailed chinchilla), 994 nucleotides long. RefSeq lists it as uncharacterized. Lineage: Eukaryota; Metazoa; Chordata; Mammalia; Rodentia; Chinchillidae. The transcript is spliced from 3 exons. The record is from RefSeq and is a predicted model, not a curated record.
GGAUGGGCGGAGUGCAGGCAGGAAGCUCCCCAGAGCGUAAGAACUGACAAUACCCACGUCUGUGCAUCGAGGUGGAGACGCCUGGUGGAGCCCCAGGUCCAGCCAGAAUCCUGUGCAGCGACCCAGGAUUGGCCUGCUUUGGCAAGAUCACCUGGAACUGACCCUGGGUCUGGAAAUAGCCGCCCUGAAGAUUCCAGACAGUGGCAGUGAGGCGGCACGGGGCACAUUGCUUCCUGCUUCCUUCAGCUGCAUUUGCCAGCGAGAGAUGGAAACCAGGCAAACUGGCCCUGGCUAGACCUGUGUCCAAGCGGCCCGUCUGGACCUGUCUCAAGAGGUGCUGCGGAUCUGUUGGUGGAUCACAGGUUGGUGCAGGUUGUGCUCAGGCUUCUCUCCUUCCUGUGAGUAUCUGCAGCUGCUACAGCAAAUAUCUCACAAGGGCCGGUGAAACAGAAGCACAUAUGCUCCUGCAUCUGCACAAACGGGCAGCGUUAUACAGAAUGGAUGUGACUGGCUGAAUGUCACCAGGCGGGGCCAGGGGAGUCGUGAAGAAUCCAAAUGAACCCUUCCGGACCUGGGCAAAUGGCCCUGGGAAGGUUACAGUGUGCGUUUCUCUGGGGGGAACAGGGAAGAGACAGCAGACCCUGACAGUUCCACAUGGGUGGCUGAAGCCUAUUCUGGCUCUGCUUCCUUCUGCUUCUGCGCAUCUUCCUGUACGUCCACUCUCACACAGGCUAGGUGGCCACGAACUUGGGGGAGAAGGGCUGCAUCAGUGUCAGAAUUGUGGUCCGGUCCUGACGCCCGGACGUCAGAGGAGGCCUGUGAUCUCUUUGCUUCUUUCCUAUGUUCCUUCCUCCUCUCUCUCCAUGGAUGUCCAGGCCCGUGCUCCUGUUCUCACAUAUACCCGUAAGAUGCUCAGCCCAGCCCUACUCUCAGCAUGUGGUAGGCACUCUGUGUUUGUCCAGUGAAUAAUAAACAGUCAUCUCAUUUUCCUCAG